This 460-nucleotide ribosomal RNA is filed under the name uncultured bacterium. RNAcentral's name for it is "partial 16S ribosomal RNA". It matches the Rfam family "Bacterial small subunit ribosomal RNA", at positions 338 to 795 of the family's 1533-position model. The record is from RNAcentral.
CCUACGGGCGGCAGCAGUGAGGAAUAUUGGUCAAUGGACGCAAGUCUGAACCAGCCAUGCCGCGUGCAGGAAGACGGCUCUAUGAGUUGUAAACUGUUUUUGUACGAGGGUAAAUCCCGAUACGUGUAUCGGGGUGAAAGUAUCGUACGAAUAAGGAGCGGCUAACUCCGGGCCAGCAGCCGCGGUAAUACGGAGGAUUCAAGCGUUAUCCGGAUUUAGUGGGUUUAAAGGGUGCGUAGGUGGUUAGAUAAGUUAGAGGUGAAAGCCCGGGGCUAAACUCCGGCAUUGCAUCUGCUACGAUCGGGCUAGAGUUUAGUUGCGGUAGGCGGAAUUUAUGGUGUAGCGGUGAAAUGCAUAGAGAUCAUACAGAACACCGAUUGCGAAGGCAGCUUACCAAACUACGACUGACGUUGAGGCACGAAAGCGUGGGGAGCAAACAGGAUUAGAUACCCCGGUAGUC